CGCGGCCUAUCAGCUUGUUGGUGAGGUAAUGGCUCACCAAGGCUUCGACGGGUAGCCGGCCUGAGAGGGCGACCGGCCACACUGGGACUGAGAUACGGCCCAGACUCCUACGGGAGGCAGCAGUGGGGAAUAUUGCACAAUGGGCGCAAGCCUGAUGCAGCAACGCCGCGUGCGGGAUGACGGCCUUCGGGUUGUAAACCGCUUUCAGUAGGGACGAAGCUAACGUGACGGUACCUACAGAAGAAGGACCGGCUAACUACGUGCCGGCAGCCGCGGUGAUACGUAGGGUCCGAGCGUUGUCCGGAAUUAUUGGGCGUAAAGGGCUUGUAGGCGGUCCGUCGCGUCAGGAGUGAAAACUCGGGGCUUAACCCCGAGCCUGCUUUUGAUACGGGCGGACUAGAGGGAUGCAGGGGAGAACGGAAUUCCUGGUGGAGCGGUGGAAUGCGCAGAUAUCAGGAGGAACACCGGUGGCGAAGGCGGUUCUCUGGGCAUCACCCGACGCUGAGAAGCGAAAGCGUGGGGAGCAAACAGGCUUAGAUACCCUGGUAGUCCACGCCGUAAACGGUGGGCACUAGGUGUGGGGGACAUUCCACGUUCUCCGUGCCGAAGCUAACGCAUUAAGUGCCCCGCCUGGGGAGUACGG
RNAcentral lists this ribosomal RNA (643 nucleotides) under uncultured bacterium. RNAcentral's name for it is "bacterial SSU rRNA". It matches the Rfam family "Bacterial small subunit ribosomal RNA", at positions 232 to 885 of the family's 1533-position model. The record is from RNAcentral.